UCAUAUCACAUUGAAACACUGGUUCCUGUAUGAUCACUGAAGUUAAGCAACGUCGAGCCUGGUCAGUACCUAGAUGGGUAACCACUUUGGAAUACCACGUGCUGUAAG
Acanthosepion pharaonis is the source of this 108-nucleotide non-coding RNA. The record is from the annotation of a GenBank genome assembly. Lineage: Eukaryota; Metazoa; Mollusca; Cephalopoda; Sepiida; Sepiidae.